UGCCAGCAGCCGCGGUAAUACGAAGGGGGCUAGCGUUGUUCGGAAUCACUGGGCGUAAAGCGCGCGUAGGCGGGCUGGUCAGUUGGGGGUGAAAUCCCGAGGCUCAACCUCGGAACUGCCCUCAAUACUACCAGUCUCGAGUUCGGGAGAGGUGAGUGGAAUUCCGAGUGUAGGGGUGAAAUCCGUAGAUAUUCGGAGGAACACCAGUGGCGAAGGCGGCUUUCUGGACCGAUACUGACGCUGAGACGCGAAAGCGUGGGGAGCAAACAGGAUUAGAUA
This 279-nucleotide ribosomal RNA is filed under the name uncultured bacterium. RNAcentral describes it as "partial 16S ribosomal RNA". It matches the Rfam family "Bacterial small subunit ribosomal RNA", at positions 506 to 784 of the family's 1533-position model. The record is from RNAcentral.